Molecule: ribosomal RNA, 497 nt
Filed under: uncultured bacterium
Lineage: Bacteria
Description: partial 16S ribosomal RNA
Rfam family: Bacterial small subunit ribosomal RNA
Source: RNAcentral
GAUGAACGCUGGCGGCGUGCCUAAUACAUGCAAGUCGAGCGAACAGACGAGGAGCUUGCUCCUUUGACGUUAGCGGCGGACGGGUGAGUAACACGUGGGUAACCUACCUAUAAGACUGGGAUAACUUCGGGAAACCGGAGCUAAUACCGGAUAAUAUUUCGAACCGCAUGGUUCGAUAGUGAAAGAUGGCUUUGCUAUCACUUAUAGAUGGACCUGCGCCGUAUUAGCUAGUUGGUAAGGUAACGGCUUACCAAGGCAACGAUACGUAGCCGACCUGAGAGGGUGAUCGGCCACACUGGAACUGAGACACGGUCCAGACUCCUACGGGAGGCAGCAGUAGGGAAUCUUCCGCAAUGGGCGAAAGCCUGACGGAGCAACGCCGCGUGAGUGAUGAAGGUCUUCGGAUCGUAAAACUCUGUUAUUAGGGAAGAACAAGCGUGUAAGUAACUGUGCACGUCUUGACGGUACCUAAUCAGAAAGCCACGGCUAACUACGUG